CCGAUGUCCCAAACACGCCAGCUACUUCAGGACAUAUGUUCCGUCUGCCUCUCCAUUUCCCUUGCUUUUCAAAUCAGUCAUGACCGACUAUUGAGCAACCGUUGAAGAAGAAGAGAAGGGAAGACAGGUGUGUGAAAUGGAGAGCAGUGAAGAAGACGACGAAUUCCCAUCAAUUGAAAGAAUCAUCCCACAGUCGAAGGUCGAUUCGCUUUACCAAUCCCAGACUGAAAAGGGAAUAAGAAAGCUUUGUUGUGAGCUCUUGGAUUUAAAGGAUGCCGUGGAGAACUUAUGUGGCAAUAUGCACGCAAAAUACUUGGCUUUCUUGAGAAUAUCUGAAGAGGCUGUGGAAAUGGAACAUGAAUUAAUUGAGCUGCAAAAGCAUAUUUCAGCUCAAGGGAUCCUUGUUCAGGAUUUAAUGACUGGUGUCUGCCGUGAAUUGGAAGAGUGGAAGCAAUCUAAUGGUGAAAACCAUGAAGCUCAGCAAGACCCUGAUAUUUCUGAACUUCAAGUUCCCUUGGCAAGUGAAAGGGAUGAUGAUAAGAUAAUAUUUUUGGAGAAGGUUGAUGUUCUCUUGGCCGAACACAGAGUUGAAGAAGCACUAGAGGCUUUAAAUGCUGAAGAGAGAAAUUCUUCGGAGCUGAAAGGCUCUGGAGAUAAUUCAGUAGGUGAAGUGUCAGAGUACAAAUCUGCUUUUUUUAAAAGAAAAGCAAUGCUUGAAGAUCAACUGGUUCAAAUUAUUGAACAGCCUUCUGUUGGUGUUCUGGAGAUGAAGAAGGCCUUAUCUGAUUUAAUUAAACUUGGAAAAGGUCCUCUGGCACAUCAUUCACUCCUAAAAUCUAAUGGGUUGCGCCUCCAAAAGAACAUUGAGGUUCUUCUUCCUUCGUGUUGUGUCUGUCCAAAAACAUUUUCUGCUACAUUAUCUAAACUUGUAUUUUCAAUGAUUUCACUGACAAUAAAGGAGUCUGCUUCAAUAUUUGGUGAUGAUCCUAAUUAUACAAACAGAAUCGUUCAAUGGGCUGAGUGGAAAAUUGAAUAUUUUGUACGGUUGGCGAAAGAGAAUGGACCUUCUUAUGAGACAGAUUCUGCAUUACGAGCUGCUAGCAUUUGUGUUCAGGCUAGUCUCAGUUACUGCUCCAUGUUGGAAUCACAAGGCCUGAAACUGUCAAAAUUACUUUUAGUGCUUUUGCGACCUUACAUUGAAGAAGUUCUAGAGUUGAAUUUCAGACGAGCCAGAAGAUUACUUUUCAAUUUGGUAGAACUUGAUGAGGGUCUAUUCUCACCUCACUCUGCAGCUUCAUUGUCUGCAUUCGCAACAUCAUCAGAGGGCAUUCUUGUUGAGAGCGGAAUGAGAUUUAUGUAUAUUGUCGAAGAUAUAUUGGAACAGCUAACCCCCUUGGCUAUUAUGCAUUUUGGAGGAAAUGUAUUAAGUAAAAUCUCACAGCUGUUUGAUAAAUACAUGGAUGCUUUGAUCAAAGCUCUAUCAGGCCCCUCUGAUGAUGACAAUUUUAUAGAGUUGAAAGAAGUGAUACCCUAUAGAGCUGAAACAGAUUCAGAACAGCUGGCAAUCCUGGGAAUAGCAUUUACCAUUUUAGAUGAGCUGUUACCAAAUGCUGUAAUGAUUAUUUGGAAGCGGCAGAAUGAAAGCAAUGAACCAAAAAGUGGACCCGCUGAAAAUGUUGUGCCUGGUACAGGCUCUACAAUAGAAUUGAAGGAUUGGAAGCGCCAUCUUCAGCACUCAUUUGACAAGCUUAAAGAUCACUUCUGUCUGCAGUAUGUUGUGAGUUUCAUCUAUGCAAGUGAAGGAAAAACACGAUUAGAUGCACAAAUUUACUUGAAUGCUGGGGAGGAUCUCUACUGGGGCUCUGACCCUCUGCCUUCACUUCCAUUUCAGGCAUUAUUUGCUAAGCUGCAGCAGUUGUCUACUGUUGCUGGAGAUGUGUUACAUGGAAAAGACAAACUACAAAAAAUCUUACUAGCUAGGCUGACAGAGACAGUUGUAAUAUGGUUGUCUGAUGAACAAGAAUUUUGGGGGGUGUUUGAGGAUGAUUCAACUCCCCUUCAGCCACUUGGGUUGCAGCAGUUAAUUCUUGAUAUGCACUUCACUGUUGAAAUUGCACGUUUCGCUGGCUACCCAUCUCGGAAUGUUCACCAGAGUGCAUCAGCCAUAAUUGCUCGUGCAAUUAGGACCUUCUCUGCUAGAGGCAUAGACCCACAAAGUGCCCUCCCUGAGGAUGAGUGGUUUGUUGAAGCUGCUAAAUCAGCAAUAAACAAAUUAUUAGAACCUGGGUCAGAUACAUCUGAAGUCGAUGAAGAUCACAUCAUUCUGCCUGAUGAGAUUGUGACAGAUUCAGAUGAGACUGCCUCUUCCCUCUCAACGCUGGAAUCUUUUGAGUCUUUUGCUUCUGCAAGUAUGGGUGAACUUGAUAGCCCUAUUUUCACUGAUCCUGAGAACUGAAAGUUUCUCUCCUAUUCAAAGGGGGAAAACCGUGGAUUCAAGUUUUGGCUGUUACCUUUCACUCUGACAGUGAAUUUUAAGAAGGGAUUUCAAGGGUUCUUCCAGCCACUUGUACUUGAGAAGUUUGUGCAUCUGCAGCUUCAAAAGCCUGUGACAGCCCCCAGGAUUUGGUUUCUGCAUCCAUUGCUCUGCAGAAAAUGGGACUGAUUAAUAAUUGCGGGGAGCGUCUUGUCAUCUUCAGCUGAAGUUGUUGUACUAAUUCUAGAAUAGUUUCUACUACUGAAAAAUAAGUAAUUAGUCCUCUCGCUCUCUCUCCUUUCCUUUGUCUUUGUCUGCUCAUUUCCUCAGGCGUCUGUGGUAAUUUUGCCAUGUUUAUCUUGUUUGGUUUAAAUCUAAUAACGAGUUAUUAAUCG
Juglans regia (Persian walnut) is the source of this 2868-nucleotide RNA transcript. It is a transcript of the gene named exocyst complex component EXO84C-like, with no coding region annotated. The transcript is spliced from 8 exons. The record is from RefSeq and is a predicted model, not a curated record. Lineage: Eukaryota; Viridiplantae; Streptophyta; Magnoliopsida; Fagales; Juglandaceae.